This 501-nucleotide ribosomal RNA is filed under the name uncultured bacterium. Its description in RNAcentral is "partial 16S ribosomal RNA". It matches the Rfam family "Bacterial small subunit ribosomal RNA", at positions 30 to 523 of the family's 1533-position model. The record is from RNAcentral.
AUUGAACGCUGGCGGCAGGCUUAACACGUGCAAGUCGAGCGGAGAUGAGGUGCUUGCACCUUAUCUUAGCGGCGGACGGGUGAGUAAUGCUUAGGAAUCUGCCUAUUAGUGGGGGACAACAUUCCGAAAGGAAUGCUAAUACCGCAUACGUCCUACGGGAGAAAGCAGGGGAUCUUCGGACCUUGCGCUAAUAGAUGAGCCUAAGUCGGAUUAGCUAGUUGGUGGGGUAAAGGCCUACCAAGGCGACGAUCUGUAGCGGGUCUGAGAGGAUGAUCCGCCACACUGGGACUGAGACACGGCCCAGACUCCUACGGGAGGCAGCAGUGGGGAAUAUUGGACAAUGGGGGGAACCCCGAUCCAGCCAUGCCGCGUGUGUGAAGAAGGCCUUAUGGUUGUAAAGCACUCUAAGCGAGGAGGAGGCUACUGAGACUAAUACUCUUGGAUAGUGGACGUUACUCGCAGAGUAAGCACCGGCUAACUCUGUGCCAGCCGCCGCAGUAA